GUCCCUGUGGCGGAACGGUAGACGCGCUAGCUUGAGGUGCUAGUGCCCUUCGGGGCGUGCGGGUUCGACUCCCGCCUCGGACA
This 83-nucleotide transfer RNA is filed under the name Phytohabitans maris. RNAcentral describes it as "tRNA-Leu". It matches the Rfam family "tRNA". Rfam says of the family: Transfer RNA (tRNA) molecules are approximately 80 nucleotides in length. Lineage: Bacteria; Bacillati; Actinomycetota; Actinomycetes; Micromonosporales; Micromonosporaceae. The record is from RNAcentral.